Molecule: non-coding RNA, 259 nt
Filed under: Flavobacterium sp.
Lineage: Bacteria; Pseudomonadati; Bacteroidota; Flavobacteriia; Flavobacteriales; Flavobacteriaceae
Source: RNAcentral
CCGCCGUAUUGAGGUUGAGGUUUGUUUUUUCAAACCACAUUAAAAGGGAAUCAGGUGAAAGAUUUCAAGUUUUAGAUUUCAGAUUUUAGGUUUAAAUCCUAAAUCAUGAAUCCUAACUUAAAUCAAGAAUCCUGAGCUGUACCCGCAACUGUAAGCUAUCAAGCUUGUUGUUAUCUACAAAACCAUUGUUCGCCGCGGCGAAUGAGAAGGUAAACAACAAGACGCAAGCCAGGAGACCUGCCUAUUACAUCGAGUAUCA